Molecule: long non-coding RNA, 118 nt
Organism: Myotis brandtii (Brandt's bat)
Lineage: Eukaryota; Metazoa; Chordata; Mammalia; Chiroptera; Vespertilionidae
Exons: 3
Source: RefSeq, a predicted model, not a curated record
UGAAACGGCCCAUGUGAGGCUGAGACGGCCCCGUUGAGGUUGAGAUGGCCUCGGUGAGGUUAAGACGACCCUGGUGGGGUCGAAACGGCCCCAGUGAGGCUGGGACGGCCCCUGUGAG